CCUACGGGAGGCAGCAGUGGGGAAUAUUGGGCAAUGGAGGCAACUCUGACCCAGCAAAGCCGCGUGAAUGAUGAAGGUCUUCGGAUUGUAAAGUUCUGUGAUGGGGGAUGAAAACAAUGACGGUACCCCAAUAGCAAGCCACGGCUAACUACGUGCCAGCAGCCGCGUUAAUACGUAGGUGGCAAGCGUUAUCCGGAAUGACUGGGCGUAAGGGGUGCGUAGGUGGUUUAGUAAGUUGGCGGUGUAAUUCCGGGGCUCAACCUCGGCGCUACCGCCAAAACUAUUAGACUAGAGUGCAGGAGGGGUAAGUGGAAUUCCUAGUGUAGCGGUGGAAUGCGUAGAUAUUAGGAGGAACAUCAGGGGUGAAGGCGACUUACUGGACUGUAACUGACACUGAGGCACGAAAGCGUGGGGAGCAAACAGGAUUAGAUACCCGGGUAGUC
This 443-nucleotide ribosomal RNA is filed under the name uncultured bacterium. RNAcentral describes it as "partial 16S ribosomal RNA". It matches the Rfam family "Bacterial small subunit ribosomal RNA", at positions 338 to 795 of the family's 1533-position model. The record is from RNAcentral.